GUGGAUUAGAUACCCUAGUAGUCCACACUGUAAACGAUGUGCACUAGGUGCUGGGGCGGAUGCUUCAGUGCCGUAGCUAACGUGAUAAGUGCACCGCCUGGGGAGUAUGCUCGCAAGGGUGAAACUCAAAGGAAUUGACGGGGGCCCGCACAAGCGGUGGAGCAUGUGGUUUAAUUCGAUGGUACGCGAGGAACCUUACCUGGGUUUGACAUACAGCGUGAUAGGUCAGAGAUGAUCUAGCGUAGCAAUACGACGCUGUACAGGUGCUGCACGGUCGUCGUCAGCU
This 286-nucleotide ribosomal RNA is filed under the name uncultured bacterium. RNAcentral describes it as "partial 16S ribosomal RNA". It matches the Rfam family "Bacterial small subunit ribosomal RNA", at positions 773 to 1060 of the family's 1533-position model. The record is from RNAcentral.